CAAUCACUGUCAAGACUCCGAGGGCCCCUGGGAGGCUGCGGUCUCUCCUCCGGGUGGGCACCCCUCCAAGGUAGCAACUCUUCCCUGCCUGCGCCCCCCACCCCAGGGUCCCAUCGGUCCCCUCGAGCUUGCUGUCAUCGCCACCUCCGGCCCGGGACGACCUUUGGGUGAGGUCCGCGAGGGCCAAGAUGCUCCUCAAGCUGAUAACCCAGAAACACCCGAAGACAGCGGUGACAGCCGACAGUAACGGAAUUAGCGAUGCCUAUAAGGCUACACGACCCGAGCACACAGGGGGACAGCAGCCGGCUGGGAGCUCUGCACCCGACCCAGCCCCACCUGGCAAUACACAUGCACACACACAUUCCUCCUUCCCCUCCCCCUCCCCCAGCUGGGCAGGGGUCCCCUCUGGGGGCGGGGCCUCGCUCGCCUCGGGUUAUAAAGCUGUCCCCUCAGCCUUGGGUGCCCCAGACUCCGCGCACCAUGGCUCCCAGGCGGCCGCUGACGGUCCAGCUCCUGGCCGCGCUGCUUUCCCUCCUCUGCCUUCCCAGGGUCCGAGGCGCCGGAGUCUUCGAACUGCAAGUCCACUCUUUCCGGCCGGGGCCUGGGUCCCCCGGCUCCCCAGGCUCGCCGUGUGGGGCCAGGAGCUCCUGCCGCCUCAUCUUCCGCGUCUGCCUGAAGCCCGCGCUGCCCGACCUGAGUCCGGAGCUACCGUGCGCCCUGGGGGCUGCGCUCAGCACCUCCGGAAGCCCCGGUCCCGGGGACCCCACCGAUCCCGGGCCGCAGCUCUCCCUGGCCGACGGCCUCAUCCGUGUCCCUUUCCGUACCGCCUGGCCGGUGAGGAGCCCAGAGCCUUGGGACCCACGGGACCUAGCUCCCCAUUUCAUGACUGCCUGAGACCUCCAUGUCAGACCCCAACUCCCGCCCACAGCAAGCGGCCUUAUGCCUUGUAUUCUUACCACAACCCCGCAACCCUGGGGCUCUCAUCUUCGGAGACACCCCCCUUUUCUCCCCAGCCUCUAAUUCUGGAACUCUGAGGGACGCC
RNAcentral lists this long non-coding RNA (1042 nucleotides) under Monodelphis domestica (gray short-tailed opossum). RNAcentral's name for it is "lncRNA (ENSMODG00000039443.1)". The record is from RNAcentral. Lineage: Eukaryota; Metazoa; Chordata; Mammalia; Didelphimorphia; Didelphidae.